Non-coding RNA from Potamilus streckersoni, 79 nucleotides. The record is from the annotation of a GenBank genome assembly. Lineage: Eukaryota; Metazoa; Mollusca; Bivalvia; Unionida; Unionidae.
ACUGUUCCAGUGGCCCAAAUGGUUGGAGCGUCUGCCUCGGAUGCAGGAAGUCGCGGGUUCUAUCCCCGGUCGAGUAAUA